CCUACGGGUGGCUGCAGUGGGGAAUAUUGGACAAUGGGGGCAACCCUGAUCCAGCCAUGCCGCGUGUGUGAAGAAGGCCCUCGGGUUGUAAAGCACUUUCAGUGAGGAAGAACGCCUGGUGGUUAAUACCCAUCAGGAAAGACAUCACUCACAGAAGAAGCACCGGCUAACUCCGUGCCAGCAGCCGCGGUAAUACGGAGGGUGCGAGCGUUAAUCGGAAUUACUGGGCGUAAAGCGCGCGUAGGUGGCUUGAUAAGCCGGUUGUGAAAGCCCCGGGCUCAACCUGGGAACGGCAUCCGGAACUGUCAAGCUAGAGUGCAGGAGAGGAAGGUAGAAUUCCCGGUGUAGCGGUGAAAUGCGUAGAGAUCGGGAGGAAUACCGGUGGCGAAGGCGGCCUUCUGGACUGACACUGACACUGAGGUGCGAAAGCGUGGGUAGCAAACAGGAUUAGAUACCCUGGUAGUC
This 465-nucleotide ribosomal RNA is filed under the name Vreelandella stevensii. RNAcentral describes it as "partial 16S ribosomal RNA". It matches the Rfam family "Bacterial small subunit ribosomal RNA", at positions 338 to 795 of the family's 1533-position model. The record is from RNAcentral. Lineage: Bacteria; Pseudomonadati; Pseudomonadota; Gammaproteobacteria; Oceanospirillales; Halomonadaceae.